RNAcentral lists this unclassified non-coding RNA (328 nucleotides) under soil metagenome. RNAcentral's name for it is "partial contains 5.8S ribosomal RNA, internal transcribed spacer 2, and large subunit ribosomal RNA". The stretch from base 1 to 120 matches the Rfam family "5.8S ribosomal RNA", at positions 35 to 154 of the family's 154-position model. The record is from RNAcentral.
GAUGAAGAACGCAGUGAAAUGCGAUAAGUAAUGUGAAUUGCAGAAUUCAGUGAAUCAUCGAAUCUUUGAACGCACAUUGCGCCCCUUGGUAUUCCGAGGGGCAUGCCUGUUCGAGCGUCAUUAUAACCCUUCAAGCUCAGCUUGGUGUUGGGGCCUGCUGUAACUGGUAGCCCUUAAAAUCAGUGGCAGUGCUAUUAGGCUCUAAGCGUAGUAAUUCUUCUCGCUAUAGUGUGUAGUGAGCGCUUGCCAGAACCCCAAACUUUUAUAUGAUUGACCUCGGAUCAGGUAGGGAUACCCGCUGAACUUAAGCAUAUCAAUAAGCGGAGGA